This 449-nucleotide ribosomal RNA is filed under the name uncultured bacterium. Its description in RNAcentral is "bacterial SSU rRNA". It matches the Rfam family "Bacterial small subunit ribosomal RNA", at positions 29 to 524 of the family's 1533-position model. The record is from RNAcentral.
AGCGAACGCUGGCGGCAGGCCUAAUACAUGCAAGUCGAGCGGGUCCUUCGGGAUUAGCGGCGGACGGGUGAGUAACGCGUGGGAACGAGCCCUUUGGUACGGAACAACUGAGGGAAACUUCAGCUAAUACCGUAUGUGCCCUUCGGGGAAAGAUUUAUCGCCAUUGGAGCGGCCCGCGUUGGAUUAGGUAGUUGGUGAGGUAAAGGCUCACCAAGCCUACGAUCCAUAGCUGGUCUGAGAGGAUGACCCAGCCACACUGGGACUGAGACACGGCCCAGACUCCUACGGGAGGCAGCAGUAGGGAAUCUUACGCAAUGGGCGAAAGCCUGACGCAGCCAUGCCGCGUGAAUGAUGAAGGUCUUAGGAUUGUAAAUUCUUUCACCGGGGACGAUAAUGACGGUACCCGGAGAAGAAGCCCCGGCUAACUUCGUGCCAGCAGCCGCGGUAAU